This 345-nucleotide ribosomal RNA is filed under the name uncultured Orbiliaceae. RNAcentral describes it as "SSU rRNA". It matches the Rfam family "Eukaryotic small subunit ribosomal RNA", at positions 20 to 370 of the family's 1831-position model. The record is from RNAcentral. Lineage: Eukaryota; Fungi; Ascomycota; Orbiliomycetes; Orbiliales.
GUAGUCAUAUGCUUGUCUCAAAGAUUAAGCCAUGCAUGUCUAAGUAUAAGCAACUAUACAGUGAAACUGCGAAUGGCUCAUUAAAUCAGUUAUCGUUUAUUUGAUAGUACCUUACUACUUGGAUAACCGUGGUAAUUCUAGAGCUAAUACAUGCUAAAAAUCCCGACCUCCGGAAGGGAUGUAUUUAUUAGAUAAAAAACCAAUGCCUUCGGGCUUGUUGGUGAUUCAUGAUAACUAAACGAAUCGCAUGGCCUUGCGCCGGCGAUGGUUCAUUCAAAUUUCUGCCCUAUCAACUUUCGAUGGUAGGAUAGUGGCCUACCAUGGUUUCAACGGGUAACGGGGAAU